GACGAACGCUGGCGGCGUGCCUAAUACAUGCCAGUUGAGCGCUGAAGGUUGGUACUUGUACCAACUGGAUGAGCAGCGAACGGGUGAGUAACGCGUGGGGAAUCUGCCUUUGAGCGGGGGACAACAUUUGGAAACGAAUGCUAAUACCGCAUAAAAACUUUAAACACAAGUUUUAAGUUUGAAAGAUGCAAUUGCAUCACUCAAAGAUGAUCCCGCGUUGUAUUAGCUAGUUGGUGAGGUAAAGGCUCACCAAGGCGAUGAUACAUAGCCGACCUGAGAGGGUGAUCGGCCACAUUGGGACUGAGACACGGCCCAAACUCCUACGGGAGGCAGCAGUAGGGAAUCUUCGGCAAUGGACGAAAGUCUGACCGAGAAACGCCGCGUGAGUGAAGAAGGUUUUCGGAUCGUAAAACUCUGUUGGUAGAGAAGAACGUUGGUGAGAGUGGAAAGCUCAUCAAGUGACGGUAACUACCCAGAAAGGGACGGCUAACUACGUG
Molecule: ribosomal RNA, 497 nt
Filed under: uncultured bacterium
Lineage: Bacteria
Description: partial 16S ribosomal RNA
Rfam family: Bacterial small subunit ribosomal RNA
Source: RNAcentral